Molecule: ribosomal RNA, 254 nt
Filed under: uncultured bacterium
Lineage: Bacteria
Description: partial 16S ribosomal RNA
Rfam family: Bacterial small subunit ribosomal RNA
Source: RNAcentral
UACGAACCGUGCGAGCGUUGCUCGGAAUCACUGGGCGUAAAGCGCACGUAGGCGGCUACUUAAGUCAGGGGUGAAAUCCUGGAGCUCAACUCCAGAACUGCCCUUGAUACUGGGAAGCUUGGAGUCCGGGAGAGGUGAGUGGAACUGCGAGUGUAGAGGUGAAAUUCGUAGAUAUUCGCAAGAACACCAGUGGCGAAGGCGGCUCACUGGCCCGGUACUGACGCUGAGGUGCGAAAGCGUGGGGAGCAAACAGG